RNAcentral lists this long non-coding RNA (294 nucleotides) under Elaeis guineensis (African oil palm). Its description in RNAcentral is "long non-coding RNA (EGUI_LNC012404)". Lineage: Eukaryota; Viridiplantae; Streptophyta; Magnoliopsida; Arecales; Arecaceae. The record is from RNAcentral.
UCGAGUCAUCUCUCUGAGACCUCCUCAUCAAGAUGACAAACUCCUCAAUCACUGACCAGGAGGGUCCUACUCCUUGCCAAGUUGCAGGAGCAGGAGCAACUGGAUUGAUUGAAAAUGAGUCAGACCAAGUCAGAGAUGAAGCUCAAGGCAGAGGUGGUGGAGUCAAUUCUCGAAUGGACUCUAGAGUAAUGGGAGCGCUACCCUGAUCAGGGGUAGUGUGAUGAUGACUUCUUGCAUGUCAUCGAUCUGUAUAGGAUUUGUGUUAGAAGUCCUAGCCGAUCUACUGAGGGUAGG